UACGUAGGGCGCAAGCGUUGUCCGGAAUUAUUGGGCGUAAAGAGCUCGUAGGCGGCUUGUUGCGUCGGCUGUGAAAUCCCGGGGCUUAACUCCGGGCGUGCGGUCGAUACGGGCAGACUUGAGUUCGGCAGGGGAGACUGGAAUUCCUGGUGUAGCGGUGAAAUGCGCAGAUAUCAGGAAGAACACCCGUGGCGAAGGCGGCUCUCUGGUACGUGACUGACGCUGAGACGCGAAAGCGUGGGGAGCAAACAGG
RNAcentral lists this ribosomal RNA (253 nucleotides) under uncultured bacterium. Its description in RNAcentral is "partial 16S ribosomal RNA". It matches the Rfam family "Bacterial small subunit ribosomal RNA", at positions 524 to 776 of the family's 1533-position model. The record is from RNAcentral.